GCCUACGUCACAAAGAAACAGCCGUGUCGGAGAAAGGCAGCCGGCUGGGGGAGGAACCAAAAGGAGGAUCUGCUAGACUCUAGAGCGGCUCUGUUGGGCAAAGGAAUUCUAGCAGCGCUUCCGACUCCCCGUGAAGCGUGUGAGAAAACCAAUACACGGAAACAGAGAGUACCAUGGAGAUGUUGUGGUAGAGCGGCCGCUUGUUAUAAAUCAGCACAGUUUCCUGACAUUGCGUGGUGCCGGUGCCUGGAAAAAGCCGUAGUCUUCCAUUAGGAGGAGAAAAAAAAUCCAAAAGGCAUAGCAGGCUAAUACUUUUAUUAAAACCAACUAAACUAUCCCAAAUUUAUAGCAUGGGAAAACUUUGACAAGCGGCUUAUAUCACUAUGUGGCACAGCUGUCCUUCACAUGAAAUGCAAUAUAUUUCUGCAUAUAUGACAGUAAUUCAACAGACCUCCCUAUCCAAGGAAAAGAAGAAAUAUUCCACAAGGGGUGAGUCCCUUUCUUAGAAAAUGCAAGAAGAUAUGUCCUCUAAAAAGACUUCAUUGGAAGGGCAUUCAACUUGGAUAUGAGCCCCAGACCAGAACUAAACACUACAGGGGAUACAAUGUCAUGGCCUCGCCUGUUGCCACCCUAUCUCCUUCUGUAGCGACUCAGAAUCAGAGAUUGAGAAGGUGGAACUGGUGUCAGCGGUCCCCAUCCUGGAUCCGACUAACAUAACGGAGAGUAGGGAGGCCACUGAGCUGAGGAAGCCCUGGGACAGGAAACCCUUGAGGAAGCCCAUUCAGGGUCAGAGGCCCCUGAGGCGGCACUUGUGGAACCCAAACCUGCCACAGAGCCAGCCUCACCUCCAUCAGCACACCAUAUCGAGAACCUAUCCCAGAUACUUCUUAAGAGUAAGGUUGCCAACGAAUCUGGAUGUGUUGAAUCAAAAGAGAAGAUUUUGAAGUUCCUUGUGAAGAGGAUUUAUUCCAUGUCUUCAAAAGUUUUUUCCAACAUGGUUCUGGAAGCACAGUUAAAUUAAGAUAUGGUUGAUGUUCAUGGGAGACAAUAUGAACAUAUACAUGGACACUUGAUGAAGCGGUUUGAAACAGCUUAUCACUGGGUUGCUGUCGUUUUGGCACAUAUUAUGGGCUAUAUAGUUUUCUUUUGCUUGGAUGUUGUUCAGUGUAUCUGAUGUUGUUCAUAUUUUUACUUUGUAUGAUCAAUUACUAUUACUAUUUCUAUAUGAUUCUAUGAUUUAUAAUACAGUCAAGGUUAAUAUAUUUCAUUUCUUAUG
Hemicordylus capensis (graceful crag lizard) is the source of this 1276-nucleotide long non-coding RNA. RefSeq lists it as uncharacterized. The transcript is spliced from 2 exons. The record is from RefSeq and is a predicted model, not a curated record. NCBI's taxonomy places the organism in Eukaryota, Metazoa, Chordata, Lepidosauria, Squamata, Cordylidae.